GGUUUCCUGGGCAAGGCUAAUCCUCCCAGGGUCAGUCGGGGGCUAAGGCGAGGCCGGGAGGCGUAGCCGACGCGCAGCAGGCAGACAUUCCUGCACCGCGCACGCGGCGCUACGACCGACGGGGCGACGGAUGGGGGUGGCUCGGCGGGGUUCUGGACGUCCCCGUGAUGGAGCGCGGCCCGCGGACCAGGGAAAUCCGGUCCGCACGAGGGCGAGGCUCCGGACGAAGCAUCUGAGCGAAGCGAGUGAGCCCGAGGUCCCUAGAAAAACCCCUAGGCAGGCGCGUGCGCGCCCGUACCGCAAACCGACACAGGUGGGUGGGUAGAACAUACCGAGGCGAUCGGGUCAACCAUGGUCAAGGAACUCGGCACAAUGGCCCCGUAACUUCGGGAGAAGGGGUGCCCGCGCGUACGUGAACGGACUUGCUCCGGGAGCGGAGGCGGGCCGCAGUGGAGAGGCCCAAGCGACUGUUUACCAAAAACACAGGACUCUGCAGAAGCCGCAAGGCGACGUAUAGGGUCUGACGCCUGCCCGGUGCCGGAAGGUCACGCGGAGGAGUUAGCCGCAAGGCGAAGCCCCGAAGCCAAGCCCCGGUAAACGGCGGCCGUAACUAUAACGGUCCUAAGGUAGCGAAAUUCCUUGUCGGGUAAGUUCCGACCUGCACGAAAGGCGCAACGACUUGGGCGCUGUCUCGACCAUGGACCCGGUGAAAUUGCACUGGUCGUGAAGAUGCGACUUACCCGCGGAAGGACGGAAAGACCCCGUGAACCUUCACUGCAGCUUGGCAUUGGCCGCUGGUCCCGCGUGUAGAGGAUAGGCAGGAGGCACAGAUCCGGAGGCGCCAGCCCCCGGGGAGCCGCCCUUGGAAUACUGCCCUCGCGCGACCGGCGUCCUAACCCGAGGCCGUCAACCGGCUCGGGGACCGUGCCAGGCGGGCAGUUUGACUGGGGCGGUCGCCUCCUAAAGGGUAACGGAGGCGCGCGAAGGUCCGCUCGGGACGGUCGGCAACCGUCCUUUUGAAUGCAAGAGUACAAGCGGGCUUGACUGCGAGGCCCACAAGCCGAGCAGGUGCGAAAGCAGGCUCUAGUGAUCCGGCGGCCCCGAGUGGGUGGGCCGUCGCUCAACGGAUAAAAGGUACUCCGGGGAUAACAGGCUGAUCUUGCCCAAGAGUCCACAUCGACGGCAAGGUUUGGCACCUCGAUGUCGGCUCAUCGCAUCCUGGGGCUGGAGCAGGUCCCA
RNAcentral lists this ribosomal RNA (1239 nucleotides) under human gut metagenome. RNAcentral's name for it is "bacterial LSU rRNA". It matches the Rfam family "Bacterial large subunit ribosomal RNA", at positions 1349 to 2567 of the family's 2925-position model. The record is from RNAcentral.